AUUGAACGCUGGCGGCACGCCUAACACAUGCAAGUCGAACGGCAGCGGGGGAGAAGCUUGCUUUUCCUGCCGGCGAGUGGCGAACGGGUGAGUAAUACAUCGGAACGUGCCCUGUAGUGGGGGGUAACUAGUCGAAAGAUUAGCUAAUACCGCAUACGACCUGAGGGUGAAAGUGGGGGACCGCAAGGCCUCAUGCUAUAGGAGCGGCCGAGGUCUGAUUAGCUAGUUGGUGGGGUAAAGGCCUACCAAGGCGACGAUCAGUAGCUGGUCUGAGAGGCCGAUGAGCCACACUGGGACUGGGACACGGCCCAGACUCCUACGGGAGCCAGCAGUGGUGAAUUUUGGACAAUGGGCGAAAGCCUGAUCCAGCAAUGCCGCGUGUGUGAAGAAGGCCUUCGGGUUGUAAAGCACUUUUGUCCGGAAAGAAAUGGCUCUGGUUAAUACCUGGGGUCGAUGACGGUACCGGAAGAAUAAGGACCGGCUAACUACGUGCCAGCAGCCGCAGUAA
This 508-nucleotide ribosomal RNA is filed under the name uncultured bacterium. RNAcentral's name for it is "partial 16S ribosomal RNA". It matches the Rfam family "Bacterial small subunit ribosomal RNA", at positions 30 to 523 of the family's 1533-position model. The record is from RNAcentral.